Molecule: long non-coding RNA, 1684 nt
Filed under: Camarhynchus parvulus
Lineage: Eukaryota; Metazoa; Chordata; Aves; Passeriformes; Thraupidae
Description: lncRNA (ENSCPVG00000018582.1)
Source: RNAcentral
UGCGGCCCCGCCCCCCCAAUUUGGGGUUCCCGCCUCCAUUUUUGGGGCGCCCGGAGCCGUUUUGUGUCCCCGUGACCUCAAUUGGCGCCUCGAUGACGUCAUCAACCCCCCCAGCCGGUUUUGGGGUGCCCGGACCGGUUUUGGGGUUUUUUAAUUUAUUUUUAGGAUCGACCUCGUUUUUUUUAGGGUUUUAAUUAAAGGUUUGGGGCUUUUAAUUAAAGUUGUUGGGGCGCUGAUGACGUCAUCAAGGUGGGGAUGAAAGGCUUGAGGCGAUGACGUCACCGCACCCCAAAAAUGCGGCCCCGCCCCCCAAAAAACCCCAGAGCGGCCGCGGCCGAAUUUGGGGUGAAACCGCUGCAGAUCAGUUUUGGGGCCAUGGGGCGUCUGUGCCGCUGCUGCCGCCGCCGGGGUCGCUCCAAGGGUCCCUCCCGGGGUCACCCCAAAAAUCACCCCAAAAAAAAAUCACCCCAAAAAUCAGCCCAAGGGGCAGCGCCACCCCCGGCCCUGCUCCCCUCCCCCAGCCCAGCCGCCCUGCCCGCCGAUGACGUCACCGCUGACGUCAGCCCUCCCCGCUUACGUCAUUUGGCCGCCGCCGGCGCUGGUGACGCUCGGGGCGCCGCGGGUGGCGCUGCUGGGGGAGCCGCAGCCCCAAAUCCGCUGCUUUUAACCCCAAACCUCGCGGCUGCCACCCCCAAACGGAGCAUUUUUUUAGCCCCAAAAUUGGGAUUUUGUAGCCCAAAAAUUGGGAUUUUUUAAAGCAAAAAAUUGGGAUUUUUUAGCCCAAAAUUUCGGAUUUUUUAGCCCCAAAAUUCGGAUGUUUUAGCCCCAAAUUGGGAUUUUUUUAAAGCAAAAAAUUGGGAUUUUUUAGCCCAAAAAAUUGGAAUUUUUUAGCUCAAAAAUUCGGAUUUUUUAGCCCCAAAAUUCGGAUGUUUUAGCCCCAAAAUUGGGAUUUUUAAACCCAAAAAUUGGGGUUUUUGAACCCAAAAAUUGGGAUGUUUUAAAGCAAAAAAUUGGGAUUUUGUAACCCCAAAAUUGGGAUUUUUAAAGCAAAAAAUUGGGAUUUUGUAACCCAAAAUAUUGGGAUUUUUUAGCCCCAAAAUUGGGAUUUUUUAGAGCAAAAAAUUGGAAUUUUUAGCCCCAAAAUUGGGAUUUUUAAAGCAAAAAAUUGGGAUUUUUUAGACCAAAAAUUGGGAUUUUUUAGCCCCAAAAUUGGGAUGUUUUAGCCCCAAAAUUGGGAUUUUUAAACCCAAAAAUUGGGAUGUUUUAAAGCAAAAUAUUGGAAUUUUUUAGCCCAAAAACUGGAAUUUUUAAACCCAAAAAUUGGGAUUUUUAAAGCAAAAAAUUGGGAUUUUUUAACCCAAAAUUUCGGAUUUUGUAACCCAAAUAUUGGGAUUUUUUAGCCCCAAAAUUGGGAUUUUUAAAGCAAAAAAUUGGAAUUUUUAACCCAAAAUUUUGGAUUUUGUAACCCAAAAAUUGGCAUUUUUUAGAGCAAAACGUUGGGAUUUUUUAAAGAAAAAAUUUGAAACUUUUAACCCAAAAUUCGGGGGUUUUUUUACCCAAAAAUCGGGAUUUUUACCCCAAAAUUUGUGAUUUUUUUAAAGCAAAAUUUGUAAUUUUUAAAAAAAUUGUGAUUUUAAACCCAAAUUUGUGAUUUCGGACCCAAAAUAAAGAUUUCCAACCCCAG